GCUUGUAUCAGAAUUCUCCAUUUCACUCAUGCAUUAGAAUCACUUGGGGAGUUUUUCAUUUUUUAUUUUGUUUUGUUUUUGUUUUUGUUUUUGUUUUUUUCCCAGGUCAGGAAGCCCGGGCUGAGUUUCAAGUGUUUUCUUAAGGCUUCAUGGGUGAUUCUGAUGCAUGGCCAACGUGGAAGUCUCCUGAAACUCUGUUUCUAUCCAGAAACUAAGAGGAGCAGAUGGACCCAAACUUCUUCUGAUUGGAAGAUGGUCUUUUUGUCUUCAGUGUCGCCUCGCCCAUGUUUUCUUAUCUCCUAACUCAGUUCCUUUUCUCUACCCAUCCUUCACAUUUAUGUAAACUGUUGGGUAAUGUGAAC
RNAcentral lists this long non-coding RNA (362 nucleotides) under Mustela putorius furo (domestic ferret). RNAcentral describes it as "lncRNA (ENSMPUG00000029999.1)". The record is from RNAcentral. Lineage: Eukaryota; Metazoa; Chordata; Mammalia; Carnivora; Mustelidae.